UCAGGUGGCCGCAGAGAAUAGGCCCAAGCGACUGUUUACCAAAAACAUAGGUUUCUGCUAAGUCGCAAGACGAUGUAUAGGGGCUGACGCCUGCCCGGUGCUGGAAGGUUAAGGGGAUCUGUUAGAGUAAUCGAAGCAGUGAACUUAAGCCCCAGUAAACGGCGGCCGUAACUAUAACGGUCCUAAGGUAGCGAAAUUCCUUGUCGGGU
RNAcentral lists this ribosomal RNA (209 nucleotides) under Clostridioides difficile. Its description in RNAcentral is "partial 23S ribosomal RNA". It matches the Rfam family "Bacterial large subunit ribosomal RNA", at positions 1769 to 1977 of the family's 2925-position model. The record is from RNAcentral. Lineage: Bacteria; Bacillati; Bacillota; Clostridia; Peptostreptococcales; Peptostreptococcaceae.